Molecule: ribosomal RNA, 116 nt
Filed under: Pteropus alecto (black flying fox)
Lineage: Eukaryota; Metazoa; Chordata; Mammalia; Chiroptera; Pteropodidae
Source: RNAcentral
GUCUGUGGCUAUGCCACCCUGAACAAGCCCGAUGUCUGAUCUUGGAAGCUAAGCAGGGUUGGGCCUGGUUAGUACUUGGAUGGGAGACCACCUAGGAAGACUAGAUACUGUAGGCA